ACUCCUACGGGAGGCAGCAGUGGGGAAUAUUGCACAAUGGGCGCAAGCCUGAUGCAGCCAUGCCGCGUGUAUGAAGAAGGCCUUCGGUUGUAAAGUACUUUCAGCAGUGAGGAAGGUGGUGCAGUUAAUAGCUGUAUCAUUUGACGUUAGCUGCAGAAGAAGCACCGGCUAACUCCGUGCCAGCAGCCGCGGUAAUACGGAGGGUGCGAGCGUUAAUCGGAAUUACUGGGCGUAAAGCGCAUGCAGGUGGUUUGUUAAGUCAGAUGUGAAAGCCCGGGGCUCAACCUCGGAAUUGCAUUUGAAACUGGCAGACUAGAGUACUGUAGAGGGGGUAGAAUUUCAGGUGUAGCGGUGAAAUGCGUAGAGAUCUGAAGGAAUACCGGUGGCGAAGGCGGCCCCCUGGACAGAUACUGACACUCAGAUGCGAAAGCGUGGGGAGCAAACAGGAUUAGAUACCCUGGUAGCACAGAG
This 471-nucleotide ribosomal RNA is filed under the name uncultured bacterium. RNAcentral describes it as "bacterial SSU rRNA". It matches the Rfam family "Bacterial small subunit ribosomal RNA", at positions 335 to 799 of the family's 1533-position model. The record is from RNAcentral.